CUCGCGCGUGUCCGUGUGCGCCGUUCGCACGUUUGCGUCGGCGCUGUGCGUGUGUGCGCAAAUUGUAAAAGUAUGAGCUUGUUAAUUCCAAUAAGGGCCUUUGCCUUGUUGUGGUUUGGUGGGAUGGGAGGGUGGAGGAGGGUGGAGGAGGGGAGGACAUCUUGAAGUGGCUGACCAAGAUCGCCAGAAAUCUGCCAGAAUUCCAUCCCGACGCUCAGUGCCAGCUGCCCUGCAUGUUGAUCACCCAUCAGCCUUCCUGCUCUACUCUGUCAUGGAACCAUUUCCACAAAUAAUCUGUUUAUUUAUUCAUUCGCCUUCUUAAUGACUUUCCGACACUUGCGCGUUUUUGUUUUUGUUUUUUUCUUCCCCCCACAUCUUGCUUCAUGGCAUUGGAGAUGGGAGGACGAGCUGCAAAGGAAACCAGAGUGAUUUCAUUCGCUGGUGAUGCAGAGAAGAAAGUUAAUCUGUCUGAGGGGAGAGAUGGGAGGUUUUCUGCAGCUGAAAUGAGAUCCAGAUCUGAAUCAAGGAGUGAUUGGUAACGAAAGGAUGGGAUGGAAAGGAGACGGAGAAGGGAUUUUCUCUUUCACCCUCAUGGUCACGGCCAUGUUGAUGACUCACACUUGGGUAU
Xiphophorus couchianus (Monterrey platyfish) is the source of this 628-nucleotide long non-coding RNA. RefSeq lists it as uncharacterized. The transcript has 2 exons. Lineage: Eukaryota; Metazoa; Chordata; Actinopteri; Cyprinodontiformes; Poeciliidae. The record is from RefSeq and is a predicted model, not a curated record.